RNAcentral lists this ribosomal RNA (634 nucleotides) under Escherichia coli. RNAcentral's name for it is "bacterial SSU rRNA". It matches the Rfam family "Bacterial small subunit ribosomal RNA", at positions 1 to 624 of the family's 1533-position model. The record is from RNAcentral. Lineage: Bacteria; Pseudomonadati; Pseudomonadota; Gammaproteobacteria; Enterobacterales; Enterobacteriaceae.
AAAUUGAAGAGUUUGAUCAUGGCUCAGAUUGAACGCUGGCGGCAGGCCUAACACAUGCAAGUCGAACGGUAACAGGAAGCAGCUUGCUGCUUCGCUGACGAGUGGCGGACGGGUGAGUAAUGUCUGGGAAACUGCCUGAUGGAGGGGGAUAACUACUGGAAACGGUAGCUAAUACCGCAUAAUGUCGCAAGACCAAAGAGGGGGACCUUCGGGCCUCUUGCCAUCGGAUGUGCCCAGAUGGGAUUAGCUUGUUGGUGGGGUAACGGCUCACCAAGGCGACGAUCCCUAGCUGGUCUGAGAGGAUGACCAGCCACACUGGAACUGAGACACGGUCCAGACUCCUACGGGAGGCAGCAGUGGGGAAUAUUGCACAAUGGGCGCAAGCCUGAUGCAGCCAUGCCGCGUGUAUGAAGAAGGCCUUCGGGUUGUAAAGUACUUUCAGCGGGGAGGAAGGGAGUAAAGUUAAUACCUUUGCUCAUUGACGUUACCCGCAGAAGAAGCACCGGCUAACUCCGUGCCAGCAGCCGCGGUAAUACGGAGGGUGCAAGCGUUAAUCGGAAUUACUGGGCGUAAAGCGCACGCAGGCGGUUUGUUAAGUCAGAUGUGAAAUCCCCGGGCUCAACCUGGGAACUGC